GACGGAGGAUGCAAGUGUUAUCCGGAAUCACUGGGCGUAAAGCGUCUGUAGGUGGUUCGAAAAGUCCACUGUUAAAAAUUGACGGCUUAACUUCGAAAGAUGCCGUGGAAACUUUCAAACUAGAGUAUGGUAGGGGUAGAGGGAAUUUCCGAGUGGAGCGGUGAAAUGCGUAGAUAUUGGAAAGACCACCGAUGGCGAAGGCACUCUACUGGGCCAUUACUGACACUGAGAGACGAAAGCUAGGGGAGCAAAUGGG
This 256-nucleotide ribosomal RNA is filed under the name uncultured bacterium. RNAcentral's name for it is "partial 16S ribosomal RNA". It matches the Rfam family "Bacterial small subunit ribosomal RNA", at positions 524 to 776 of the family's 1533-position model. The record is from RNAcentral.